This 497-nucleotide ribosomal RNA is filed under the name uncultured bacterium. RNAcentral describes it as "partial 16S ribosomal RNA". It matches the Rfam family "Bacterial small subunit ribosomal RNA", at positions 28 to 507 of the family's 1533-position model. The record is from RNAcentral.
GACGAACGCUGGCGGCGUGCCUAAUACAUGCAAGUUGAGCGCUGAAGGUUGGUCCUUGUACCAACUGGGUGAGCAGCGAACGGGUGAGUAACGCGUGGGGAAUCUGCCUUUGAGCGGGGGACAACAUUUGGAAACGAAUGCUAAUACCGCAUAAAAACUUUAAACACAAGUUUUAAGUUUGAAAGAUGCAAUUGCAUCACUCAAAGAUGAUCCCGCGUUGUAUUAGCUAGUUGGUGAGGUAAAGGCUCACCAAGGCGAUGAUACAUAGCCGACCUGAGAGGGUGAUCGGCCACAUUGGGACUGAGACACGGCCCAAACGCCUACGGGAGGCAGCAGUAGGGAAUCUUCGGCAAGGGACGAAAGUCUGACCGAGCAACGCCGCGGGAGUGAAGAAGGGUGUCGGAUCGGAAAACUCUGUUGGUAGAGAAGAACGUUGGUGAGAGUGGAAAGCUCAUCAAGUGACGGUAACUACCCAGAAAGGGACGGCUAACUACGUG